Non-coding RNA from Podarcis lilfordi (Lilford's wall lizard), 75 nucleotides. The record is from the annotation of a GenBank genome assembly. Lineage: Eukaryota; Metazoa; Chordata; Lepidosauria; Squamata; Lacertidae.
GCUCAUGAUGGAUAGCUCAGUCAGAGCAUGAGACUCCUAAUCUCCAAGUCGUGGGUUUGAGCCCCACGUUGGGCA